CAUUAACGAGUUCUUGAACGGGUUGCUGCUGACUCCUUUAUUUGGAGUAUGUGCACACCUGGCUCAAUUCCACUCUUUUAACCCCUGUGCACUUUUUGUAGGUUGGUGAAUGACUGGCAUUUAAAGAUGUCAGUUUGAAGCCUUCCUAUGUUUUAUUACAAACGCUUCAGUUAUAGAAUGUUUUACUUGCUAUAAACGCAAUUAUAUACAACUUUCAGCAACGGAUCUCUUGGCUCUCGCAUCGAUGAAGAACGCAGCGAAAUGCGAUAAGUAAUGUGAAUUGCAGAAUUCAGUGAAUCAUCGAAUCUUUGAACGCACCUUGCGCCCUUUGGUAUUCCGAAGGGCAUGCCUGUUUGAGUGUCAUGGAAUUCUCAAACCCCCAAUUUAUUUUUGGUGGGCUUUGGAUUUGGAGGCUUGUGCUGGUGGCUUUUUUAAUUAAAAGUGUUCAGCUCCUCUGAAAUGCAUUAGUGUGAAUCUUACUGGUCACUAUCAGUGUGAUAAUUAUCUGCGCUGUUGUGAUUCUAGUAUUUAUAUGUUCAUGCUUUCUAAUCGUCUCGUUUACAUGAGACAAUUAAUAACUUUGACAUCUGACCUCAAAUCAGGUAGGACUACCC
This 614-nucleotide ribosomal RNA is filed under the name fungal endophyte. RNAcentral's name for it is "eukaryotic LSU rRNA". The stretch from base 210 to 363 matches the Rfam family "5.8S ribosomal RNA". Lineage: Eukaryota; Fungi. The record is from RNAcentral.